RNAcentral lists this ribosomal RNA (757 nucleotides) under fungal sp. Its description in RNAcentral is "eukaryotic LSU rRNA". The stretch from base 468 to 757 matches the Rfam family "Eukaryotic large subunit ribosomal RNA", at positions 1 to 289 of the family's 3401-position model. Lineage: Eukaryota; Fungi. The record is from RNAcentral.
UUACAAGUGACCCCGGUCUAACCACCGGGAUGUUCAUAACCCUUUGUUGUCCGACUCUGUUGCCUCCGGGGCGACCCUGCCUUCGGGCGGGGGCUCCGGGUGGACACUUCAAACUCUUGCGUAACUUUGCAGUCUGAGUAAACUUAAUUAAUAAAUUAAAACUUUUAACAACGGAUCUCUUGGUUCUGGCAUCGAUGAAGAACGCAGCGAAAUGCGAUAAGUAAUGUGAAUUGCAGAAUUCAGUGAAUCAUCGAAUCUUUGAACGCACAUUGCGCCCCCUGGUAUUCCGGGGGGCAUGCCUGUUCGAGCGUCAUUUCACCACUCAAGCCUCGCUUGGUAUUGGGCAACGCGGUCCGCCGCGUGCCUCAAAUCGACCGGCUGGGUCUUCUGUCCCCUAAGCGUUGUGGAAACUAUUCGCUAAAGGGUGUUCGGGAGGCUACGCCGUAAAACAACCCCAUUUCUAAGGUUGACCUCGGAUCAGGUAGGGAUACCCGCUGAACUUAAGCAUAUCAAUAAGCGGAGGAAAAGAAACCAACAGGGAUUGCUCUAGUAACGGCGAGUGAAGCAGCAAUAGCUCAAAUUUGAAAUCUGGCGUCUUCGACGUCCGAGUUGUAAUUUGUAGAGGAUGCUUCUGAGUAACCACCGACCUAAGUUCCUUGGAACAGGACGUCAUAGAGGGUGAGAAUCCCGUAUGCGGUCGGAAAGGUGCUCUAUACGUAGCUCCUUCGACGAGUCGAGUUGUUUGGGAUGCAGCUCU